GAAUUCUGAGAUUGGGGUGCCAGCAUGGUCAGGUUCUAAUGUGGUCUCCCUUACUGGCUUGCAAGCUGCCCCUUUGUCCCUGUGUCCUCACACAGGAGAGAGAGCUCUGCUAUCUCCUCCUAUGUUUGUAUGGGCACCAGCCCUCUUGGAUUAGGGCCCUACCUCAUGACGUCAUUUAACCUUUAUCACCCCCUCACAGGCCCUUUCUCCAAAAACAGUCACCUUGGUGGUGGUGGGGAGGGAGGAUGUUAGGGUCUCCACACAGGCAUGUUGAGGGGACGCAAUUCAGUCCAGAGCAUUUGAUUUAAGCAAUUUAGGAAUAUUUUGGAGAUUAUACUUUAAAUGAUGUGCUCAAUAAUAUUUAGGCACUUUUUUUGCAAGCCUGUACUUAAGGCUUGCAACGUCUUUCUCUUGCUGUCAAUUUGCAUAAAAUAUUUAAACUAUGCUCUUAAAGCAGAACAUCUACAUAGACUCAAAAGCAAAUGAAAAUUCUCCGCAAAUGCAAAUCUAGAAUUAAAUGACCUAAGCAAAACAUGUUUUACAUUCAGAAAACCACCUUAAUUUAAUGAGCAUUCCAGUUCUAUGAAACAUAUAAUGACAUAAACAUAAUUGACUUUAACCAACUUUGGGAAGAAAUCGCUCAUAUACAAAUAAAUAUCCUCUCCAUUGUCUGUGUCUAUCUUCGGUCAUAUCUUUACUGUGCAUUUUGAGGUGUCCUUAAAAAAUGAAAAGUGACAUUAAUAUAUGUCUUUGUUUAUAGUGAGAGAAAAGUCCUAAAGUACACAAUUUACAAUUUUGUUUUUAACCUCACUUUCACAUAUUUUUGCUCCAAAAGCGAGAUAUCACUUAGAAAAAGUUGAAUGGUAUAGUCAAUAACAUGUAAUAAGUCUUCAUUAAGCUUUUUUGUGUCUUUUUUUCCAGAAACUGAGAAAGUCAAGAACUAAUGACUGGGUUAAAAAUUUUUUUUUGGUAAAUUAGGUGAUUUUCAGUUCUUUGCUUUCAAUAGAAUAAAAGAAGGCCCUAAUCAAGUUAUCAAUAAGUAGAUAAUAGAUAAUAGAUCACUAUGCUUUUUUUGACUUAUAACUAAGAAGGCAUUCAAAUAACAGAGUGACAUUUCCAUAAGAAAAUGCCUAACAUUCUCAUUACUUUUUUUCUUUUUUUAUGGUCACUCCUCCUGGGAAUCUCCAUGUGCCGCAGGUGUGGCCCUAAAAAGACAAAAGACAAAAAAAAAAAAAAAAAAAAAGAAAAA
Molecule: long non-coding RNA, 1249 nt
Filed under: Sus scrofa (pig)
Lineage: Eukaryota; Metazoa; Chordata; Mammalia; Artiodactyla; Suidae
Description: lncRNA (ENSSSCG00060075221.1)
Source: RNAcentral